UACGUAGGGGGCAAGCGUUAUCCGGAAUUACUGGGUGUAAGGGUGAGUAGGCGGCAUGGUAAGCCAGAUGUGAAAGCCUUGGGCUUAACCCGAGGAUUGCAUUUGGAACUAUCAAGCUAGAGUACAGGAGAGGAAAGCGGAAUUCCUAGUGUAGCGGUGAAAUGCGUAGAUAUUAGGAAGAACACCAGUGGCGAAGGCGGCUUUCUGGACUGAAACUGACGCUGAGGCACGAAAGCGUGGGGAGCGAACAGG
Molecule: ribosomal RNA, 252 nt
Filed under: uncultured bacterium
Lineage: Bacteria
Description: partial 16S ribosomal RNA
Rfam family: Bacterial small subunit ribosomal RNA
Source: RNAcentral